GAUGAACGCUGGCGGCGUGCUUAACACAUGCAAGUCGAACGGAAAGGCGCCUGCUUGCCGGGGUACUCGAGUGGCGAACGGGUGAGUAACACGUGGGUGAUCUGCCCUGCACUUCGGGAUAAGCCUUGGAAACUGGGUCUAAUACCGGAUAGGACGAUGGUUUGGAUGCCAUUGUGGAAAGUGUUUCGGUGUGGGAUGAGCUCGCGGCCUAUAAGCUUGUUGGUGGGGUAAUGGGCUACAAAGGCGUCGACGGGUAGCCGGCCUGAGAGGGUGUACGGCCACAUUGGGACUGAGAUACGGCCCAGACUCCUACGGGAGGCAGCAGUGGGGACUAUUCCACAAGGGGCGCAGGCCUGAUGCAGCGACGCCGGGUGGGGGAUGACGGCCUUCGGGUUGUAAACUCCUUUCGCUAGGGACGAAGCGGAAGUGACGGUACCGGGAGAAGAAGCACCGGCUAACUACGU
Molecule: ribosomal RNA, 464 nt
Filed under: uncultured bacterium
Lineage: Bacteria
Description: partial 16S ribosomal RNA
Rfam family: Bacterial small subunit ribosomal RNA
Source: RNAcentral